GCCGGGGUGGCUCAGCCUGGUCAGAGCGCCCGGCUCAUAGAACCGGGAGGUCGCGGGUUCAAAGCCCGCCCCCGGCACCA
Molecule: transfer RNA, 80 nt
Filed under: Thermococcus sibiricus MM 739
Lineage: Archaea; Methanobacteriati; Methanobacteriota; Thermococci; Thermococcales; Thermococcaceae
Description: tRNA-Met
Rfam family: tRNA
About the family: Transfer RNA (tRNA) molecules are approximately 80 nucleotides in length. Their secondary structure includes four short double-helical elements and three loops (D, anti-codon, and T loops).
Source: RNAcentral